RNAcentral lists this ribosomal RNA (400 nucleotides) under Rhizobium sp. SA_05. Its description in RNAcentral is "bacterial SSU rRNA". It matches the Rfam family "Bacterial small subunit ribosomal RNA", at positions 60 to 508 of the family's 1533-position model. Lineage: Bacteria; Pseudomonadati; Pseudomonadota; Alphaproteobacteria; Hyphomicrobiales; Rhizobiaceae. The record is from RNAcentral.
AGUCGAGCGCCCCGCAAGGGGAGCGGCAGACGGGUGAGUAACGCGUGGGAAUCUACCGUACCCUACGGAAUAACGCAUGGAAACGUGUGCUAAUACCGUAUACGCCCUUAGGGGGAAAGAUUUAUCGGGGUAUGAUGAGCCCGCGUUGGAUUAGCUAGUUGGUGGGGUAAAGGCCUACCAAGGCGACGAUCCAUAGCUGGUCUGAGAGGAUGAUCAGCCACAUUGGGACUGAGACACGGCCCAAACUCCUACGGGAGGCAGCAGUGGGGAAUAUUGGACAAUGGGCGCAAGCCUGAUCCAGCCAUGCCGCGUGAGUGAUGAAGGCCUUAGGGUUGUAAAGCUCUUUCACCGAUGAAGAUAAUGACGGUAGUCGGAGAAGAAGCCCCGGCUAACUUCGUGC